This is a non-coding RNA of Macaca mulatta (Rhesus monkey), 148 nucleotides long. Lineage: Eukaryota; Metazoa; Chordata; Mammalia; Primates; Cercopithecidae. The record is from RefSeq and is a predicted model, not a curated record.
AGCAAUUUCUGUUACCCAUGGUCAACUGAGGUCUGAAAAUCGGAAUCACAUUCAGCCUGGAUGUGGAAUUACCUUUUGAAAGAGGCUUAGUAUACCUUUUGUGCCAGCAAAGUCAGAUACCUUCUCUGAAUAAAGACCAACUUCAUGA